CAGGGAAGCCGGCGACCGAAGCCCCGGUGAACGGCGGCCGUAACUAUAACGGUCCUAAGGUAGCGAAAUUCCUUGUCGGGUAAGUUCCGACCCGCACGAAAGGCGUAACGAUCUGGGCACUGUCUCGGAGAGAGGCUCGGUGAAAUAGACAUGUCUGUGAAGAUGCAGACUACCUGCACCUGGACAGAAAGACCCUAUGAAUCUUUACUGUUCCCUGGGA
Molecule: long non-coding RNA, 220 nt
Organism: Brachypodium distachyon (stiff brome)
Lineage: Eukaryota; Viridiplantae; Streptophyta; Magnoliopsida; Poales; Poaceae
Exons: 3
Source: RefSeq, a predicted model, not a curated record